GGAGAGGUGCGAGAGCGGCCGAAUCGGCGUGAUUGGAAAUCACGUGUACCGGCAACGGUACCGUGGGUUCGAACCCCACCCUCUCCGCCA
RNAcentral lists this transfer RNA (90 nucleotides) under Nitrospirota bacterium. RNAcentral describes it as "Nitrospirae bacterium tRNA-Ser". It matches the Rfam family "tRNA". Rfam says of the family: Transfer RNA (tRNA) molecules are approximately 80 nucleotides in length. Their secondary structure includes four short double-helical elements and three loops (D, anti-codon, and T loops). The record is from RNAcentral. Lineage: Bacteria; Pseudomonadati; Nitrospirota.